GUCCUCUUCGUUCUCAGUCGGCUUGCGUGUGGCCCAUUCCACGACAACUUGGAUGCAUCGAUCAGGACGUAUUGGGGGUGGGGGGCAAACGCAGUCAUUCGACCGCUUUAAUACUCGUGUCUUUGUGAUGAGAACCGCGGCUCUCGUCACUCUGCGCUUUUUCUCCGCUGCAUUCAAGGCAGCUGACAAUGUGACAUAAGUGCUCUAUAGAAUCGUCUGGCUUUAUGCUGUUUUCACUGUCUGUUCGGCAGAAAAAGGCCGAACCCUGCAGUUUUCAGAAAGAAAAAAAAUCUCGAAAAAAAUCAAAUUGUGUAAGCAAGUUAUUGUGCUGCCUACUUCCUGAAACGAGUCUGCACAUGCACAAAAAGAUGAGAAAGCAAGAGGGAGCAUUUGUGUGUGUGAAUUUAGACUAAAAUGAAUCAAAUGACUUUCAUCUGAAGAAAACUACAUUGAUCGGUUUACAUGAGACGUUUGAGAGAACCCGGAAAUCUCAGGGUGCGCAGGGAAUUGCCUGUUUUAGCCUCAUGGAAAGUCUGCCCCUGGCACUAAUUUUAGCAUGUGUUUGCAUAGCCACUGCAGUCAGCUGCUGUUUAAAUUAGAAAUAUUGGAAUGACCACUGCCCUUCCGCUUUGUGGACGUACAGUAUAGCACACAGUCUACGUCUGCCCUCUUAAAUCUAUUUAACUUGAUUAAAUGGCUGGUGUAUUUGUCAGAAGAUGACCCCACUGGCCAUAUUUGUAAUUGUCAUCACAACCCGGGGGCACGUGUCUCCUCCACUUAGCCAACGGGAGGAGCAGACUACACGGUUCUGGUCAUGAUGACUUGUACCAAAUAGACAAACCCAAACAUCUCAUGUUUUGGCAGUGGGUUCACUGAAGGACUUCCAACCACCGUUUGUCAAGGGAGAUCGGGGACCUGCUCUCGGAAUAACCUGCGCUUCAUGUGUACUUCUGGUGAAGGAGUUCGCUAAGCAGCUGCGGCGGCCUCAUGGCGCAACAAAUAAACACGGGGAGCCGAUAGAAAACAGAACAGAGGGUUAAAGUGGCCCCUUGAUUGCGGCCACUCUCUCGAUCUGCAUUUAUUCGGCUGCAAAUGUCGAUUUAAAAGUGAACAACCGGUAGAGGAUUGAACAAAUCAAGAAAGAGCAGAUGUCCGUUCGUAUCUGAUCCUUAUCAUUUAUUCAUCCGUUAACCCAUGUGACGAAUUGAAUGUUUUGUUUUCAUGGGCGCCAUUUAUGUGAGCCAUAACUUGCUUUCAUAAUCACACCUAAUGUCAAGUGUCAUAAGUGUGUCUCAAUGUUGCUCCACAUUCUAUUGUUCAUUAUUUGAACAUUUGACAUUGCCACUGAUUGGGGAAAAAAAAGUCCCUGUUGUCAGAACAUUCAUUUUAAAAGCCUUCCCUCUGCUGCCAUCAUGUGGCCAAAAAGUAGAAUGGCUAGCGCACCGUAGACGCAACCGUAAAUAUUUCUACUUGCCACCAAAAA
Molecule: long non-coding RNA, 1483 nt
Organism: Hippocampus comes (tiger tail seahorse)
Lineage: Eukaryota; Metazoa; Chordata; Actinopteri; Syngnathiformes; Syngnathidae
Exons: 2
Source: RefSeq, a predicted model, not a curated record